RNAcentral lists this transfer RNA (64 nucleotides) under Capsaloides cristatus. Its description in RNAcentral is "tRNA-Lys". Lineage: Eukaryota; Metazoa; Platyhelminthes; Monogenea; Capsalidea; Capsalidae. The record is from RNAcentral.
GGGUGUAUAGCUUAUAUAAAGUUUCAGAUUCUUACUCUGAGGAAGUUUUAAGAAACUACUCUCA